CGGCUUUGCGGUUGUCGUUAGCUCGAUAUUUCUGUUGCCGUGUACGGACGUUGCGACCCGUUUGGUGUCAGUCUACGAAGCAUAUGUAAGUUCGUUGAUACGUGUUAACUUGUUGACAUGUAUUACGAGUGUGUGUUUUCUGGCUGACUUGCCAGACGGUACAAAAUGGUGUCUGUGAAGGCUUUUAAGCUUUCAUAGUGCCGGUCUGCGACGAAUCUUCGGGCUUCUUUCCGACCCGUCUUGAAACGGGACCAAGGAGUCUAACUUGCGCGCGAGUCGCGGGGUGUCGAGUAGUGGCGGCGGCAACGUCGUUGCUACUCGUUACAAUACGAAACCCGUUCGAUGAAAGGCGUAAUGAAAGUGAAUUCCUUUCAAUGGAAUGGGGAAGAUGGCGUUACCGAGUUCACGUUUCGCAACUUGCUUGCGACCGGUCGUCCGCAUUCCCAGGGCGUUCCAACGGCCCGGCAGCGUUGCGGAUCGUCAUUCCUUCGGGGGUGGCGGUCGGGCGUUGUCGAUCCGGGGCGCACCUACAGCGUGCAAGUUGGUACCCGAAAAGAUGGUGAACUAUGCCCGGCCAGGAUGAAGUCAGGGGAAACCCUGAUGGAGG
This 607-nucleotide ribosomal RNA is filed under the name Phenacoccus aceris. RNAcentral describes it as "partial large subunit ribosomal RNA". It matches the Rfam family "Eukaryotic large subunit ribosomal RNA", at positions 432 to 873 of the family's 3401-position model. Lineage: Eukaryota; Metazoa; Arthropoda; Insecta; Hemiptera; Pseudococcidae. The record is from RNAcentral.